This 424-nucleotide ribosomal RNA is filed under the name uncultured bacterium. Its description in RNAcentral is "partial 16S ribosomal RNA". It matches the Rfam family "Bacterial small subunit ribosomal RNA", at positions 360 to 775 of the family's 1533-position model. The record is from RNAcentral.
AAUAUUGGUCAAUGGGGGGAACCCUGAUCCAGCCAUGCAGCGUGUGUGAAGUAUGCCUUUUGUUUGUAAAGCACGUUAAGUGAGGAGGAGGAGCUCCUGAUUACUACCCAAGAUGCUUGGACGCCACUACUAGACUAAGCACCGGUUAACUCUGUGCCGGCAGCCGCGGUAAUACAGAGGGUGCAAGCGUUAAUCGGAUUUACUGGGCGUAAAGCGCGCGUAGGUGGCCAAUUAAGUCAAAUGUGAAAUACCCGAGCUUAACUUGGGAAUUGCAUUCGAUACUGGUUGGCUAGAGUAUGGGAGAGGACGGUAGAAUUCCAGGUGUAGCGGUGAAAUGCGUAGAGAUCUGGAGGAAUACCGAUGGCGAAGGCAGCCAUCUGGCCUAAUACUGACACUGAGGUGCAAAAGCAUGGGGAGCAAACAG